CUGUCCUGUGUUGCAACCCGAAAGGGCACUCUCAGGAGACCGCCAGCGAUAAGCUGGAGGAAGGUGGGGAUGACGUCAAGUCAUCAUGGCCCUUAUGUCCAGGGCUACACACGUGCUACAAUGGGCGGUACAAACCGCAGCAAACCCGCGAGGGGGAGCAAAUCGGAAAAAACCGUUCUCAGUUCGGAUUGCAGGCUGCAACUCGCCUGCAUGAAGCUGGAAUCGCUAGUAAUGGUAUAUCAGAACGAUACCGUGAAUACGUUCCCGGGCCUU
This 273-nucleotide ribosomal RNA is filed under the name uncultured bacterium. RNAcentral's name for it is "partial 16S ribosomal RNA". It matches the Rfam family "Bacterial small subunit ribosomal RNA", at positions 1105 to 1382 of the family's 1533-position model. The record is from RNAcentral.